RNAcentral lists this long non-coding RNA (1443 nucleotides) under Prunus persica (peach). RNAcentral's name for it is "long non-coding RNA (PPER_LNC008608)". The record is from RNAcentral. Lineage: Eukaryota; Viridiplantae; Streptophyta; Magnoliopsida; Rosales; Rosaceae.
AGGUAGUUAAGUUGGGGACAAUAUCGGUGUUGUUAGUAAUGAGUCACUGACCCGUCUCUCUAGUCUUAACAUAGUAUCAGAGCGGGUUGAUUGAUUGUGCCUGAAUUGGGCCUCUAUUCUUACCCAAUAUGUGGUGUUCACAUGUUGGGCUUGAAUGCUUACCCUUACCCUUUACCCAAUACGUGGUGCUCACGUGUUGGGCUUGAAUGUUUGACUCCGAUGUGGAUUUGGCUCCACGUGUGGCCCACUAUGUUGUGGUCCCACGUGAAGGGGUGUGUUGAAGAAUGAGUCACACAUCGGAAACUUGAUUAAAUAAAAUAAAAUACAUAAUAAAUAGUUCUACUACUAAUAUCACCGAGGCCUUUUGUGAUAAAACUCCACACUUACUGGGUUUUGUAGGUGGUUAAGUUGGGGACAAUAUUUUUGUUGUUAGUAGUAGGCCGCUGGCCCGUCUCUCUAAAUUUAACAUGAUAUCAGAGCGGGUCGGUUGAUUGGGCCCGAUUAAACUUAAAUCAAACAAAAACUCCAAAUUGAAUCAAAACCAAACAAACCCCAAAUACUUCACACCAAAAAAAAUAAAAAUAAAAAUGUGACUGAUGUGGAAUUGGUUGCAUGUGUGGCCCACUAAAAAAGUGGUCCCACGUGAGGAGGAGUGUUGAAGGAUACACGAGCCCCACAUCGGAAACUUAACAAAAUAAAAAGUCUCAUAUAAUAAAUGGUUCCACUCCUAAUAACAUCGAGGCCUUUUGUAUAAAACCUCACACCUGUUAAAUAGGUGAUUAAGUUGAGGACAAUAUCGAUGUUGCUAGUGGUGAACCAAGAGUCCGUCCCUCUGAAAUCUUCACACUACAAACUCACUCAUUUUAUUUUUAAAUUGUUGUAAGGAAAAGAAGGAGAAACUCAACAAACUCACUCUUAUUCAUCAAAUAAAAGAUUUUAGAACAAAUGUCAAAUACAAGCGUAUAAUCAUUAGCACACUAUAUGUAUAAAAUAAACUGAAACGUUAUCUACUUGUAUAUAAAAGUUCGACUCUAAGACAUCCGACUUUACAACUUGCUCCCAAUAUAUGUUUAUCAUGUAUAGUGCCCCUUCAACCCUAAAAUAAGAGAAAAUAUUGGCUGAUAUUUCAUCAUGGCUUAGGAGAGAACGUACGUCAGACAGAAUAGUGAUGAUCUGAUUUGGUGUUCCUAAUUUUUAUUCUCUUUUUCUAUUGGCCCCUUCAAAACAUUUAACUCAUGGGACACUUGAGUUGAGACACAAGAAACACAAGAAUGGAUAUGAGAAAGACGAAACAAAUAGAUUAAUCGAACGAGAUGGACGAAAAUUGAGAUAAGGGAGUGAUACCCUUAAAAUAAAGGGAGAUACACUAUAAUACCUAAUAUAUGAGCUUAAAUUAUUAAAAAGAAAAAAAAAACUUAUAUGAAAUGGACUUUAGAAACAUAC